GGAGCCGUCAUUAGGGUUCCAAUGAAUUUUGUUUCAAUUUUUCGAUGUUCUGAAUAUCAUUCUCUCAACAAUUAGGCGAAAGAUUGAUUUUCAUAUGAUUAGUAGUUUUCUUUCUGUUUUCCGCGAAUGUUUUUCCGAGAAAAUUGAAUCGGGAAAGAGGCAAAAAACAGGGGAGAGAUUUUGAUAAAUAGCUCUGAAAUACCUGUAGGUUUUCUACGGGGUGCCCUUGCUCUUCUUUCCCUAAUACCAAAAUGGCUUCAUAGUACGGGUUUCUUUGUGCUUUCUCUGUGUUUUGUGUAUUUUUUAUACUCAAAUCACUUUGAAUCUCAUUCACAAUCCCGCCUCCAAUCGCCAUUACAUGUUUUUAAAAAUUCUUUAGUUUAUGCUUCAAAUCUCCUUAUUCUUACCAAAACAGUUUAUCUGAAUCAAUCCUUAAGUGUAUACUGUAUGCUAACUUUUUUGAGAAAGUUUAAGACUUCAGGAACAGGCAAAUGAUAAACUAAGUAGCAAAAGUUACCAAUUCGUACUAAAAUGAACUUGUGAACAUGACGUAACAAAUCUAAAUCCAGAGUACAAUUAGAAUCUGAAUUGAAUCUUACAGAACUAAGUACAAGUACACAAUAUUUAGAUUGAAUGGUAUAAGCUCGACGAAGUUGUCUGCUUCACAUCUUUACCACCGAACAAUCCUUUCCCCAAAACCCAACCUUCAAUCAUAUCCCUUGAAUUCACAGCUUUAUCUGUCGGAACAAAAUGACCAGCUCCUGUAACCGCCACGUGGCACAAAUUCCCCCAUCUCUGAACAUAACCAGCGACCACACCGUCUUCAUCCUUCCACACACGCCUCUCCGCCGUCGAGAACAUUCCCAAUCCUGACCAGUUCAUAGUCUUCAUCCACUCCUCCGUCGAAACGACGCCGUCUCUUAGAUCAAGCAUACCUUGAUACAGCAAGACUUGAGUCCUCUCCAAUGCGUACUCCACCAUGAACUUUACGCUCUUCAUCACGUCUGCCCGCAACACAUCUUCUACUUCAUCACUACAUUCCUCAAAACGAACCGUUUCACUCACUCCCAAAACACGUUUUGCUUCUCUCUGGUUCAAGAGGUCCACCACGAGGUCUGUUCUGUAUGGAAUCGCCCGUGCCGUGUUGUAGAGCGUCGCGAGUCCUGUCAUGUUACUUAGUAGCGUCAACAGUUCGGUCCUCGCGUCUGCUGCUUCACGCCAUUUCUGGGACUUCACGAGAGCUACAGAUAUCUCCUGCGCUUUUUGCAGUUCAACUCUCUGUUUUGCGUUGACCAGACCCGAGUAGUAGACGUUGACCGCAUGGGUUUGAACCUGGGUCACCGGGUCGGUCAGCCCGUUUCCAAUGGCUAGCCCCUUUAGAUUCACUUUCCCAUUGGGUUUCUCUUUAAGGAUAUAGUAUCCAAUGGCUGGAACGUACUUCCCGGCGUAGCUCUCUCCAGUGAAGUAAACCGGUCGGUUUUCGAAGCUUGGGUUUUGUUCAAGGAACUCCACGAGAGCGGCGUAAAGAUGCUCAGCGACCUGUCUCUGAUUUGUGGGUAUGUCUUGUUGUGAGGCUGCGAUGCUGAAUCCGACUCCUAUUGGGUUAUCCACAAAAAGUAGUCCGAAUAGACGGUUCCAUGCGCCGGGGUUGCGCUCGAGGUCUGUGGCGCGUGAAACUACACGCCAGGGACCGAGCUCGUAAAAGUUGCCAAUCAUUGAAGAGCAGCCUGGCCCACCUUGGAGCCAAACGAGGAGCGGAGUGUCAGGAAGAGGUGUGGUUGGCUCUUGGGCUUCGUAGAAGGCAUAGAACAUGGACGAGCCGGGUGCGGGUUUAACCGGGAGGUAGCCAGAUUUAGUGGGGAGAGCUUCAUCGGGAAAUAGCGGUGGCUGAGGAGACUCAACGGAGACGGCGAGGAGGAGAGUGGAAAGCAAUAUGAAGAGUGUAGUGGCUUGCUCCAUUAUUUCCACUAAUUGGUGACGCCUUUACAUAAAGAUCCCUUUGUAUUAUUUCAUUUAUUUCAUUAUUUGACUGCAAAACAUUACGUUUAUGUUUUGU
Molecule: long non-coding RNA, 2056 nt
Organism: Arabidopsis thaliana (thale cress)
Lineage: Eukaryota; Viridiplantae; Streptophyta; Magnoliopsida; Brassicales; Brassicaceae
Product: other RNA
Exons: 1
Source: RefSeq